UUAGUUGGCCCUAGCGCCACAGAGGGCGAU
RNAcentral lists this small RNA (30 nucleotides) under Bombyx mori (domestic silkworm). RNAcentral's name for it is "ovarian small RNA-36771". The record is from RNAcentral. Lineage: Eukaryota; Metazoa; Arthropoda; Insecta; Lepidoptera; Bombycidae.